UGUGGAGCAUCCCUGCAGGGGACUGCAGCC
This 30-nucleotide non-coding RNA is filed under the name Homo sapiens (human). Lineage: Eukaryota; Metazoa; Chordata; Mammalia; Primates; Hominidae. The record is from RNAcentral.